GUGGUAACCUUGGUGGGCCGGGAACCAGUGACCUGUUUAUUCUUCUUCAUCUCCUCACUGCGAGCCUCAGCCUCGAGGUGGAGCUGGCGAAAAACCUCAUUGAAGGCGUCAUCAUAGGAGGUGCGCUUGGGAUCAUAAAUCUGUGAGAACUCCUUACGGACGGCGGCGAGGAGGUCGUCGACGUAAAGGAGGUGGAGCAUGCGCUGGUAAACGGCGACGAACACGAGGCCGAGGUCAUUGUUAAAGGUCCACUUAAGCGCAUAGGUGUCCUGGGAGAAGCUGGCGUCGGCAGAGCGCUCCUCGAGGAGGCAGGAGCGGAUGAGGGCGUCGAUGGGCGAGCCCUUGAGGGCGGCGCCGCCGAGCGCCCGGCAUGACGACCAGAGGAUGAGGCCGCCGCGCGUGAAGAUGAGCAGCUCCUCCAACAUCUCGACGGACGAACCU
This 441-nucleotide long non-coding RNA is filed under the name Oryza sativa (Asian cultivated rice). Its description in RNAcentral is "long non-coding RNA (OSAT_LNC001540)". Lineage: Eukaryota; Viridiplantae; Streptophyta; Magnoliopsida; Poales; Poaceae. The record is from RNAcentral.